CAGUAGCCGCGGGAAUACGUAGGUGGCAAGCGUUGUCCGGAAUUAUUGGGCGUAAAGGGCUCGCAGGCGGUUUCUUAAGUCUGAUGUGAAAGCCCCCGGCUCAACCGGGGAGGGUCAUUGGAAACUGGGAAACUUGAGUGCAGAAGAGGAGAGUGGAAUUCCACGUGUAGCGGUGAAAUGCGUAGAGAUGUGGAGGAACACCAGUGGCGAAGGCGACUCUCUGGUCUGUAACUGACGCUGAGGAGCGAAAGCGUGGGGAGCGAACAGGAUUAGAGACCCCAGUAGUCCCUGUCUCUUAUAA
Molecule: ribosomal RNA, 301 nt
Filed under: uncultured bacterium
Lineage: Bacteria
Description: partial 16S ribosomal RNA
Rfam family: Bacterial small subunit ribosomal RNA
Source: RNAcentral